AAUAAUUUUAAAUGGCUGCGGUAUAACUGACCGUGCAAAGGUAGCAUAAUAAUUAGUUUUUUAAUUGGAAGCUGGAAUGAACGAUUGGACGAGAAAAUGACUGUUUCUAUUUAAAUUAAUAAAAAUUUAUUUUUAAGUGAGAAAGCUUAAAUUUUUUUAAAAGACGAGAAGACCCUAUAAAGUUUUAUAUUUUGUUUAGUUAAGAUUUUUUUUAGAAUUUUAGAAGUUUUUAUUUAAUAAGGUGUUUUGUUGGGGAAAUAGAGAAAUUGAAUGAA
This 275-nucleotide ribosomal RNA is filed under the name Gracilaclopus electricus. Its description in RNAcentral is "partial 16S ribosomal RNA". The record is from RNAcentral. Lineage: Eukaryota; Metazoa; Arthropoda; Insecta; Coleoptera; Scarabaeidae.